CCUACGGGUGGCAGCAGUGGGGAAUAUUGCACAAUGGGCGCAAGCCUGAUGCAGCCAUGCCGCGUGUGUGAAGAAGGCCUUCGGGUUGUAAAGCACUUUCAGCGGGGAGGAAGGCGUUAAGGUUAAUAACCUUGGCGAUUGACGUUACCCGCAGAAGAAGCACCGGCUAACUCCGUGCCAGCAGCCGCGGUAAUACGGAGGGUGCAAGCGUUAAUCGGAAUUACUGGGCGUAAAGCGCACGCAGGCGGUCUGUCAAGUCGGAUGUGAAAUCCCCGGGCUCAACCUGGGAACUGCAUUCGAAACUGGCAGGCUAGAGCCUUGUAGAGGGGGGUAGAAUUCCAGGUGUAGCGGUGAAAUGCGUAGAGAUCUGGAGGAAUACCGGUGGCGAAGGCGGCCCCCUGGACAAAGACUGACGCUCAGGUGCGAAAGCGUGGGGAGCAAACAGGAUUAGAUACCCGUGUAGUC
Molecule: ribosomal RNA, 465 nt
Filed under: uncultured Klebsiella sp.
Lineage: Bacteria; Pseudomonadati; Pseudomonadota; Gammaproteobacteria; Enterobacterales; Enterobacteriaceae
Description: bacterial SSU rRNA
Rfam family: Bacterial small subunit ribosomal RNA
Source: RNAcentral